AAUAAGCGGAGGAAAAGAAACCAACAGGGAUUACCUCAGUAACGGCGAGUGAAGCGGUAACAGCUCAAAUUUGAAAUCUGCCAACAGGCCGAGUUGUAAUUUGUAGAAGAUGCUUUGGGUAUGGCUCCGGGUUAAGUUCGUUGGAACACGACGUCAUAGAGGGUGAGAAUCCCGUAUGUGCCUGGUUGCUUUUGCCUAUGUAAAGCUCUUUCGACGAGUCGAGUUGUUUGGGAAUGCAGCUCAAAAUGGGUGGUAUAUUUCAUCUAAAGCUAAAUAUUGGCCAGAGACCGAUAGCGCACAAGUAGAGUGAUCGAAAGAUGAAAAGCACUUUGGAAAGAGAGUUAAACAGUACGUGAAAUUGUUGAAAGGGAAGCGCUUGCAACCAGACUUGCACGCUGUUGAUCAUCCAGGCUUCUGUUUGGUGCACUCAGCAGUGUUCAGGCCAGCAUCAGUUUCGGUGGUGGGAUAAAGGCCUUGGGAAUGUAGCUUCUUUCGGGGAGUGUUAUAGCCCUCGGUGCAAUGCCGCCUACCGGGACUGAGGACCGCGC
Molecule: ribosomal RNA, 548 nt
Filed under: Acidea extrema
Lineage: Eukaryota; Fungi; Ascomycota; Leotiomycetes; Helotiales
Description: eukaryotic LSU rRNA
Rfam family: Eukaryotic large subunit ribosomal RNA
Source: RNAcentral